CACGUAGUUAGCCGGGGCUUCUUAGUCAGGUACCGUCAUUUUCUUCCCUGCUGAUAGAAGUUUACAUACCGAAAUACUUCAUCCUUCACGCGGCGUCGCUGCAUCAGGGUUUCCCCCAUUGUGCAAUAUUCCCCACUGCUGCCUCCCGUAGGAGUUUGGGCCGUGCCUCAGUCCCAAUGUGGCCGGUCACCCUCUCAGGUCGGCUACUGAUCGUCGCCUUGGUGAGCCUUUACCUCACCAACCAGCUAAUCAGACGCGGGUCCAUCCCAUACCACCGGAGUUUUUACCCCUGCACCAUGCGGCGCUGUGGUCUAUGCGGUAUUAGCAGACAUUUCUAUCUGUUAUCCCCCUGUAUGGGGCAGGUUACCCACGCGUUACUCACCCGUCGCCACUCAGCCACAGUACAAUCAACCCGAAGGAACUCAAAAGUAAAGUGCUUCGUCGACUUGCAUGUGUUAAGCACGCCGCCAGCGUUCAUCCUGAGCCAGGAUACGAAACUCU
RNAcentral lists this ribosomal RNA (501 nucleotides) under uncultured Lachnospiraceae bacterium. RNAcentral's name for it is "partial 16S ribosomal RNA". The record is from RNAcentral. Lineage: Bacteria; Bacillati; Bacillota; Clostridia; Lachnospirales; Lachnospiraceae.